GCCAGGUGUGGUGAUGCACUCCUGUAGUCCCAGCUACUAGGGAGGCUGAGGUGGGAGGAUUGCUUGAGCCUGGGAGGUUGAGGCUGCAGUGAGCCGAGAUUGUGCCACUGUGCUCUAGCCUGAGUGACAGAGCGAGACCCCAUCUCUC
RNAcentral lists this small RNA (148 nucleotides) under Pongo abelii (Sumatran orangutan). Its description in RNAcentral is "Metazoan signal recognition particle RNA (ENSPPYG00000033658.1)". The record is from Rfam by way of RNAcentral. Lineage: Eukaryota; Metazoa; Chordata; Mammalia; Primates; Hominidae.